AAACAAAAGUUUCUAUGUUUUAUCCUGUAGCUGAUUUUAUUACCUUUAAACAAUAAGAUUGUUUUCCUUUCACAGAGAACGCUGGCCUGAAAAGAAGUGUGCUGCUCACAGCACUAUUUUCCAUCCAUCUGGUUGCUGCAGGUGCAUAAGGCUGGUGAAAAUUUUGCAGUGUGCUCGAGUCCUGGUGCACCUGCUGCUAGACCUGUCUGAAAGCCCCGGCAUCGCCUGCCCAGGAGUGUGAAGAAUGACUGAAGCGUUAAAUAAGGACGUGGGUGUCAGCACCCAGAACAGAAGAGGGCAAGGGGAUGAUGCUGUUGGGCUGGUGUGGGCAAAACAUG
This 338-nucleotide long non-coding RNA is filed under the name Manacus vitellinus (golden-collared manakin). RNAcentral's name for it is "lncRNA (ENSMVIG00005018006.1)". The record is from RNAcentral. Lineage: Eukaryota; Metazoa; Chordata; Aves; Passeriformes; Pipridae.